This 26-nucleotide non-coding RNA is filed under the name Homo sapiens (human). Lineage: Eukaryota; Metazoa; Chordata; Mammalia; Primates; Hominidae. The record is from RNAcentral.
UGAGGUGUGCGGCAGGAGCGACCGUG